AACGAACGCUGGCGGCAGGCCUCAAACAUGCAAGUCUAGGGGGUGCAGCAAUGCAUCACCGGCGGACGGGUGCGUAACGCGUGGGAAUAUACCUAUUGGUUCGGAACAACUGCGGGAAACUGCAGCUAAUACCGAAUGUGCCCGCAAAGGGGAAAGAUUUAUCGCCAAAGUGGAUUAGCCCGCGUAGGAUUAGCUAGUUGGUGGGUAACGCCCACAGGCUCCGAUCCUAGCNGUUCUGAGAGGAAGAUCAGCCACACUGGGACUGAGACACGGCCAGACUCCUACGGGA
Molecule: ribosomal RNA, 289 nt
Filed under: uncultured bacterium
Lineage: Bacteria
Description: partial 16S ribosomal RNA
Rfam family: Bacterial small subunit ribosomal RNA
Source: RNAcentral